GCAUUUCAUUCGCAAUAAGCGGUUAGUCGAUAGUUUCAGUUCAUAAAGUUGUAGGCCCUGUCACGAAAGGCCGAAUAAAGUUAUCUAGGGCAAGCUUUUCGCGUUACUUAAGGUUAGUGUUCAACCACAGCAGUAGGACUAUAGAUUUGAAAGGGGACGUUAAAUAAAUACGAAGUCGCAGUCACAAAUGGGAAUCCAAUUACGACACAAUCUCGACUGUCAUCCAGUGUGAUAAACCCAGGCGUGCUGCGAGAACAAGAACACACUGGAGCUACAAAAUUUAACAACAGAUAUACGGAAUGUGAAAAUUAUGACACGUUGCUUGUUUCGUUAAAUUUAACAGAGUUUUAUCUAAGAAAACUGUCAAAACUUGUGCCAUCGCCGCGUAACCGACGUGCGCGAGUUUACCCGUGCAUUUGUUACGUGCGAACAAAGUGAAAACUUGGUACAGCUGCUGAAAACAAUUGCAACUCCGAAACUAAUAACCGAACCUCCUGGAAAUUUAUGGAACAAGUUCAAAUGCGCUCGCCCACCUUAAACUCAAUUUGAUCUUGGACGUCCUUAUUAUCGAGGUAA
This is a long non-coding RNA of Photinus pyralis (common eastern firefly), 576 nucleotides long. RefSeq lists it as uncharacterized. The record is from RefSeq and is a predicted model, not a curated record. The transcript has 4 exons. NCBI's taxonomy places the organism in Eukaryota, Metazoa, Arthropoda, Insecta, Coleoptera, Lampyridae.